Molecule: long non-coding RNA, 3062 nt
Filed under: Cricetulus griseus (Chinese hamster)
Lineage: Eukaryota; Metazoa; Chordata; Mammalia; Rodentia; Cricetidae
Description: lncRNA (ENSCGRG00015029380.1)
Rfam family: Small nucleolar RNA R38 (bases 2554-2635)
Source: RNAcentral
CCGGUUUGGAAAGCAGCCGGCGGCGUCGCCGCAAAGCCAAGCGACGCCUCUGCGCCCCAGACACAGUCCGCAGAGCGGCGUCCUCGUCGGUCCCUGGCCCUCGAACAUUCUCCGCCGCCCCGGCCUGAGCCAGGGACCGCCGAGGUUCUCCACAGGCCGAGCUAACUUCCCACCCCAGGAACAGAGCUCGCUCUGCUGCCCCCGGUGGCGGCCGGCCGCCACCUUACCCUCGGCUUCUUCGACAAUCGGCGACGGCCGGUUGAGAACUACAUUUCCCAUCAGGCCCUUCUCAACACCGCGAUCGUGCCCGCGAGACUCGGGUGGGAAGACCGCGCGCAGGCGCAGCCUCGCCCUUUCCGAGCUCGGCCGCCGCGUGUGCGGGAGUCAUGGCCGCGAGGCUCCGUCGUGCGCCCACGGGCAGGGCUGGGCCUUGGGUGUCGGUAAGCUGCGGGGGAGGGGACGUGAGGGCCGACGUGCCCGGUGCCCCCUCCUCUCUGCUUUGCUCCUGAAGGCGCUGGAAGGCCCGGGGUUCUGUGUUGGAAAGACGGCGUUUUCCAGGCUGCACAAGUUUUACGUGACAGCGGCCGAAGCCCGUUUAGGCUCCGCGCUCCCGGCUUGUUUGGGGGGCGGGUGGUGUUCCUUUGCUUAAAGAUGCGCGCUGUGGAACAUGAACCAGGAGAUGGAUUAACCGUGGAGUUUAUUACAGCGGGGUGGGGGCGGGCGAGCGAGCAGGGGUCUGUCUGUCAAAGACUCGGUUCCGUGGAACCAGGCACUGCCUGAGUGAUUGUGCCGGGUCACAGGGCCAGGCCAGCACAAUGCCUGGACCUUUCAGGGGGGAUCCUCGCAGGCUGCCCAGCCCCCUGGGCCUCACAGCCAGCCAUGCACGGAGCAUGCGGCCCUGGGGUCUCCCUCGAGGCUGGUGGUCCCUCAUUCCUGAGCCUCGACGCCCGAAUGGGUCUGCUGCCCGCAGGUGGUGACCGCAGGCCGUGAGAAAGGGGAUUGCCAACUGGAAAUCCGUAGUUUUGCAAAUGGCAUGUCUUUCCUUCCUCGAAGGCGUGCCCCUGGCAAAGCAUCAGGUUAAUGGCAGGAUCCCCAGGCGUAAAGGGACCCGCGUGGCCGCCCAGUGAGAAGGCGGAGAAGGACGGCGGGCAUCUGCGUGCACUGUUCUCAGGUUCCCCAAUGAGCGAGCGUUGAGCCAUGAGUCCCUUUCGAUUGGAGUUGGCUCCUGGAGACACCAUGAGAUGCUGUGUGUGGUAAGCACUUCUCCAUAGAGUGGCAGGGGUUGGGGUUGCCUGGAAGGAUCGGUCUGGGGUUGCAGGGAUGUGAUUGCUCGGGGAAGGGAAGAAACAUGGAACCAUUCCUCUCUGCUCUUCACUUACUGCCUUCAUAGACUGUAUUUAAGGUGUGAGAAUACAAGUGUUCCCCACUCUGCUGCCACAUAGACUGAGGCUUAGGGGUUUCUGCUCAAAGCUACAUGAGCACUGGCUUCCAGGGGACAUCAGUUGAUGCUGGGUGACUGUCCUUCAAGGCACAGGGCAGCCAUUUUAAACUUAAACAUACCCAACAUGUCAAUAGAGCUGAGGUUAAGAAACCUUAUCACUCAGGAUGACUUGGACUGAGUUUGUUCUCUCCUUUACAUACUGAGCCAAAAUUGCAUUUUAGAUUAAAGGUUUUGGCCAGCUAGCUGAUAGUGGCACAGAGCCUUGUGUUUUUUGUAAAGCAAAAUUAGUGGUUUCCAAUCCGGGAUUUAUCCCCCAACACCUAAAAGCAUUCCCUGGGUCCACCUCUGCCAGUGGAUAAGACUGGUUUUAGAAUGGGAUCAACAACAACCUUGUGGGAGGUCUGAGCAGGCGGACAGAGAGAGUUCAAUGAUCUGCUUAGGGAUUCUCCUAGAGCAGGCUAUUUUUAAGAAGCUCUUGGGGUAGAUUUCUAAUGUCUAAAUGGAAAAAUCUCAGGCUUGCUCUUGUAUAUGUAGAUGGACAAGGAGAAACUGUAUGAUGCUGUCUCGGUAGCAGGUGUGAUAGGUGGUUGUCUGUCAAUGGGCCAGCUGAGGUAGUGGGUUACCUAAACCAUUUCAGGCGUUCCCGUGACAGGCUGGAAGAACUUGUCAAAGACUCUGGCUCAGCGAUAAGACAGAUGCUGCUGGGAGUGACCCUCUUCCACCCUGAGGUCUUACCAUGUAUCCUGUGUGGGCCUUGAAUUUUCUGUGUAGCACAGGUUGGGUUCAAACUCACAGUUCUUGCCUUGGCUUUCUUGAUGUUCAUGAUCCUGUCUUUGAGAGGACCGGAGUGUCUGGGAAAUGGCUCAGUGGCUAAGAACAGCUGCUGAGGACCUGGGUUCAUUUCCCAGCACUUACUUCAGGCAGCCAGCUGCCUAUAACUCCACGUCUAGGGGGAAUCCAAUACCCUCUUGAGGUCUCUACAGGCACUAGGCACACACGGUGCACAUAUGUUCAUGUAGUCAAAACACACACACACACACACACACACAUGAAAUUGCCUUUUUAAAAAAGCUUUUAGAGUUCUUGAGCAAAGGCCGGCAGUCCCGUGGGAGCUGAGUGCAUGAUGAUGUAAAGUUAUCCCUGUCUGAAGGGCAAGAGGCCUUUCUGUGUGGAGCGUGGAUAUCUGAAACUCGGCUUCUCGGGCUUGACCAGCAACUCUGGACAUGGUUCUUCAGUGAGCUGCUUUACCUUGUGUGUUUCCUCAUCACCAGGUGCAGGCCAAGUCUGGGGCAGAAAGGGAUGCUGUGGCAGCCUGCAGGUUACUGCCCUAAAGUGCCCUGCUGCUGCUGACUUUAAUCUCCCAGAGAGAAUGUCAUCAAAGGACCUUGGAGUUUGAUCUGCAGAAGUAGCCAAGAAGUCAAGUGACUCUGUCAUCCUGGGAAGCCUCUGGCAGCUAGCAGUUGGAGGCACUGGGGAGGCAGGUGCUGCGCCUAGAAAAGCAUUUCUCAGUGGAUUUCCUGGGAAGUUCAUGUUGGGCUUUGUGAUUUGAAGCACAAAUAAACCUUAUUAGAUUUAACUCACUAACAUUGUGGAUGUGAGAUUGAGGCUUUUCUAACACUGA